UUCCAGACUCCUACGGGAGGCAGCAGUGGGGAAUAUUGCACAAUGGGGGAAACCCUGAUGCAGCGACGCCGCGUGAGUGAAGAAGUAUUUCGGUAUGUAAAGCUCUAUCAGCAGGGAAGAAAAUGACGGUACCUGAUUAAGAAGCCCCGGCUAACUACGUGCCAGCAGCCGCGGUAAUACGUAGGGGGCAAGCGUUAUCCGGAUUUACUGGGUGUAAAGGGAGCGUAGACGGUGAUGCAAGUCAGAAGUGAAAGCCCGGGGCUCAACUCCGGGACUGCUUUUGAAACUGUGUAACUGGAGUGCAGGAGAGGUAAGCGGAAUUCCUGGUGUAGCGGUGAAAUGCGUAGAUAUUAGGAGGAACACCAGUGGCGAAGGCGGCUUACUGGACUGUAACUGACGUUGAGGCUCGAAGGCGUGGGGAGCAAACAGGAUUAGAUACCCUCGUACC
This 448-nucleotide ribosomal RNA is filed under the name uncultured bacterium. Its description in RNAcentral is "bacterial SSU rRNA". It matches the Rfam family "Bacterial small subunit ribosomal RNA", at positions 329 to 794 of the family's 1533-position model. The record is from RNAcentral.